Loxodonta africana (African savanna elephant) is the source of this 1231-nucleotide long non-coding RNA. RefSeq lists it as uncharacterized. The transcript has 6 exons. Lineage: Eukaryota; Metazoa; Chordata; Mammalia; Proboscidea; Elephantidae. The record is from RefSeq and is a predicted model, not a curated record.
GCCAAGGCCUCGGCGCCCUGCCCGCCGUCCCCGCUCGUCGUGCGGGUGUCCGAGCCCGGCCCCCGGCUGCGCAGGAAGCUGGAGAGCUACUUCCAGAGCCGGCGCUCGGGCGGCGGGGAGUGCACCGUGCGGGCCCUGGGCGACAGCGCCCCGGACACCUUCCGGGUGGAGUUCAGGGAAAGGGCAGGAGGAAAGGAAGGAAUAAGUACAGAACCUAAGUGUCCUAAGGCAAAAUCACCACAAAAUUAUAGUAAGACAUAAAAGAAGUAUUUUAUUCCACAUAUGUUCCAAGAGGCAAAAGUGAGAGAUGAACAAGCAUGCUGCCAGAGCUAUGCGUGCCUGACACUGAGGUGAUGUUCCUGGACACUGGACUGACAUGAAUCAGCAGGGUCCCUGCUUGGUCUGGCUCCAACCUGGGCAACCAGAAUAUAACACUGUAAUGGGCAAGCUCAAUCAGACUUGUCUUUUCUACAAAAUAGAGAAGAAGAGAAACUGAGCUCUGUCCCACCAUCCUUGGACAAAAGUCCUGAGCCUUGUAUUGAAUGGACCACUUCGACCAACCUCCAUGCCUGGGAACUGCCGUGUGCUGACAGGCCUGAGCCCGGGUCACCUGAUCCAAUCAAUUUAGAGAACACAGAAUAUCCAUCUCUGGCAGAGCUACCAGCUGCAGCCUACGGAAAAGGAACCAGUUUUGCUGUUGAUGUCAGCUGUCCUGCCAGUGACACAUACUCCAGACCAGAUGAACAUGGGAGAAGGCGUAUGUAUGUUGCUUAAGUUCUUACUGGAGUCUGUACACGUGGACGUGCAGGAUUACUUAUCCCUCCAGCAGAGAACCCUCACAAUCCCGUAGAACUCUUGACUCUGUCACAGAUGACCCACAACGCCCAGACAUAUUUGUGGUGCUCUUUGAUUAUCAAGCUUACCCCAAAUAUCUCAUAACUUUCUAACGUUGUUGUUGUCCUUAGUUGCCAUGGAGUCAAUUCCCACGUACAGCGCCCCCGCAUGUGCGGAGUAGAACUGCUCCAUGAGGUUUUCCAGGCUGCAACCUUUCAGAAGCAGGUCUCCAGGCCUGUCUUCCAAGGUCCCCGUGGGUGGGUUCAAACUGCCAACCUUUCGGCUAAUAGUCUAGCACUUAACUGUUUGUGCCACACGGGGACUCCUUUGAAAUGUUAAAUAGGAUUUGUCAUAUAAUUAAAAGAAAACUUUGCAGAUUCUUUGUCUUGGACUUGUU